This 449-nucleotide ribosomal RNA is filed under the name uncultured bacterium. Its description in RNAcentral is "bacterial SSU rRNA". It matches the Rfam family "Bacterial small subunit ribosomal RNA", at positions 355 to 796 of the family's 1533-position model. The record is from RNAcentral.
UGGGGAAUUUUGGACAAUGGGCGCAAGCCUGAUCCAGCCAUUCCGCGUGCAGGAUGAAGGCCCUCGGGUUGUAAACUGCUUUUGUACGGAACGAAACGGCGCUCGCUAAUACCGGGGGCUAAUGACGGUACCGUAAGAAUAAGCACCGGCUAACUACGUGCCAGCAGCCGCGGUAAUACGUAGGGUGCAAGCGUUAAUCGGAAUUACUGGGCGUAAAGCGUGCGCAGGCGGUGAUGUAAGACAGAUGUGAAAUCCCCGGGCUCAACCUGGGAACUGCAUUUGUGACUGCAUCGCUGGAGUGCGGCAGAGGGGGAUGGAAUUCCGCGUGUAGCAGUGAAAUGCGUAGAUAUGCGGAGGAACACCGAUGGCGAAGGCAAUCCCCUGGGCCUGCACUGACGCUCAUGCACGAAAGCGUGGGGAGCAAACAGGAUUAGAUACCCGCGUAGUCC